CUACGGGGCGCUCCAGUGAGGAAUAUUGCACAAUGGGGGGAACCCUGAUGCAGCAACGCCGCGUGGAGGAUGACGCACUUCGGUGUGUAAACUCCUUUUAUAUGUCAAGAAAAUGACGGUAGCAUAUGAAUAAGCACCGGCUAACUCCGUGCCAGCAGCCGCGGUAAUACGGAGGGUGCAAGCGUUACUCGGAAUCACUGGGCGUAAAGGACGCGUAGGCGGGUUGGAAAAUCAGGUGUGAAAUCCUACAGCUUAACUGUAGAACGGCACUUUAAACUUCUAAUCUAGAGUAUGGGAGGGGGAGAUGGAAUUGGUGGUGUAGGGGUAACAUCCGUAGAUAUCACUAGGAAUACCUAAAGCGAAGGCGAUCUCCUGGAACAUUACUGACGCUAAGGCAUGAAAGCGUGGGGAGCAAACAGGAUUAGAUACCCGAGUAGUC
This 439-nucleotide ribosomal RNA is filed under the name uncultured bacterium. RNAcentral describes it as "partial 16S ribosomal RNA". It matches the Rfam family "Bacterial small subunit ribosomal RNA", at positions 339 to 795 of the family's 1533-position model. The record is from RNAcentral.